RNAcentral lists this ribosomal RNA (254 nucleotides) under uncultured bacterium. Its description in RNAcentral is "partial 16S ribosomal RNA". It matches the Rfam family "Bacterial small subunit ribosomal RNA", at positions 524 to 776 of the family's 1533-position model. The record is from RNAcentral.
UACGGAAGAUCCAAGCGUUAUCCGGAAUUACUGGGCGUAAAGAGUUGCGUAGGUGGCAGGUAAAGCGAACAGUGAAAGGCUCCGGCUCAACCGGAGAUACAUUGUUCGAACUCACCAGCUAGAGCACAGCAGAGGUACCUGGAAUUCCCAGUGUAGGAGUGAAAUCCGUAGAUAUUGGGAGGAACACCGAUGGCGUAGGCAGGGUACUGGGCUGUUGCUGACACUAAGGCACGAAAGCGUGGGGAGCGAACGGG